RNAcentral lists this ribosomal RNA (510 nucleotides) under uncultured bacterium. Its description in RNAcentral is "partial 16S ribosomal RNA". It matches the Rfam family "Bacterial small subunit ribosomal RNA", at positions 28 to 507 of the family's 1533-position model. The record is from RNAcentral.
GAUGAACGCUGGCGGCGUGCUUAACACAUGCAAGUCGAACGAAGAGCGAUGGACGCUUGCUUCUAUCAAUCUUAGUGGCGAACGGGUGAGUAACGCGUAAUCAACCUGCCCUUCAGAGGGGGACAACAGUUGGAAACGACUGCUAAUACCGCAUACGAUCUAAUCUCGGCAUCGAGGAUAGAUGAAAGGUGGCCUCUACAUGUAAGCUAUCACUGAAGGAGGGGAUUGCGUCUGAUUAGCUAGUUGGAGGGGGAACGGCCCACCAAGGCGAUGAUCAGUAGCCGGGCUGAGAGGAUGAACGGCCACACUGGGACUGAGACACGGCCCAGACUCCUACGGGAGGCAGCAGUGGGGAAUCUUCCGCAAUGGACGAAAGUCUGACGGAGCAACGCCGCGUGAGUGAGGACGGCCUUCGGGUUGUAAAGCUCUGUUAAGCGGGACGAAAGGCCUUCUUGCGAAUAGUGGGAAGGAUUGACGGUACCGGAAAAGAAAGCCACGGCUAACUACGGG